Molecule: transfer RNA, 71 nt
Organism: Haloquadratum walsbyi DSM 16790
Lineage: Archaea; Methanobacteriati; Methanobacteriota; Halobacteria; Halobacteriales; Haloferacaceae
Rfam family: tRNA
About the family: Transfer RNA (tRNA) molecules are approximately 80 nucleotides in length. Their secondary structure includes four short double-helical elements and three loops (D, anti-codon, and T loops).
Source: Rfam
GCGCUGGUGGUCUAGUGGUAUGACCUGAGCCUUCCAAGCUCAUGACCCGGGUUCAAAUCCCGGCCGGCGCA